Aethalodelphis obliquidens (Pacific white-sided dolphin) is the source of this 1457-nucleotide long non-coding RNA. RefSeq lists it as uncharacterized. The record is from RefSeq and is a predicted model, not a curated record. The transcript is spliced from 4 exons. Lineage: Eukaryota; Metazoa; Chordata; Mammalia; Artiodactyla; Delphinidae.
UGUGGAGGGUAGCAGCGUCGGGCUCAGGUUGUCUCAGGCCCGGAGCUUCCCUCGGGUGUAAUUCCCCAGCUGCUGACCUCCGAGUUAUUCUCAGUCCCCUGUCCCUCACAUCCAAAUAGGCUGGAGUUUAAUAACACCUCCGCCGUCACUCCCAAACACUGAUAGAGCGUUUUGCUCCUAAUAAGUUUAAAGUAUUAGAUGAAUUCACUGAUUACUUCAUUCUCGUGAGCGGUGAGGCUGGAACUAAGAUCGUCACGUUUACAAACGUGCUUCGAAAUUGCUCCCAAGGUCAAGGAGCUGUUUGUGAGCGAGCUGUCACCAGAUUGUGCCCACCGGGGUCCCACACUUAGGGAAAAGCCCAAACCUGGAAAGUCCGCCGAACUCUGGCUGGUUUCCCAUCCCUCACCCAAACUGCAGGAUUUGGCGGAGACGAUGGGGCAUCAUCCUGGACUCCUGAAAUGUUUAAUAGAAACGCAAACGCAAAUGAGACCGGUCAGGCCAUGCGGAAACUGUCACCUUUAGCAAGUAGAAGUACAAGGAAGUUCCUGAAGAAGAUUGAAUUUAAAUUCAGCCCCCCAACCCCGCACCGAGGGCAGGGGUGGGGUCCCUGGGUCACUCACACCUUCCUCUGUUUCCCACUUCACCUAAAAAAAACCGAGCCACAAGAUUAACUGUUGGGAGAGAAAUACCGCGAUGGUGUCAUAAAAAUCACCAAAAUCUCCUUCGCCGGAACAGAACUUCAACUUUGGUCUAUUGCGAUCACACCUGCAUCCCCAGGGCCUGGAAACAAGCCUGACACACAGCAGUCUGGGGAUAUGUCACAUGACAACUGAAGUUUGUGAGUUAGCUGAGAGCAUCUCCCCACAUUCCUCCGGGAACCCUAAGGAACAAAGUGUCACAUGAACAGUGGUCCUUCCUCGCUGCACCCGGCCUCCUGAGUCAGCUCAGUUCCUGAGCCUCCUUUUCUGAUUUCAGCUCCACCCUCUUCCCCCCUCGGUGGCGCCUGAACUUCCAUGCCUGCCCCAGUGUAUUACCUUAUUUGGUUCUCGGGCCCACAAAGAAGUCGGGAAAAGGAUCCAGGCCAGAAUAAAAGUAUUGCUUGUGCAGCUAGUGGGUGAGAAAUCUUUAUUUUAGUGACCCUGGCUUGUGCUCUGAAAGUCACAAAUACAGGGAAGCAAGUUUAGUCUCAAAAACAACCACAAAAAGCAACUGAAGAGGGCAGAGUGGAGGUGCCAAUGUCACAAUUUCUAAUGUGUGCUUUUUUUUUUUUUUUUUUUGCCACACUGCACAGCUUGUGGGAUCUUAGUUCCCUGACCAGGGAUUGAACUUGGGCCACAGCAGUGGAAGCGCCGAGUCCUAACCACUGGACCGCCAGGGAAUUCCCCAUUUAAUAUGUGCUUAAUUCUGUGAUUAGAAAGAGAUUUGUCUUUAUUCAGCUCCUUCAUGGCUGGCUUUCU